UGGGGAAUAUUGCACAAUGGGCGCAAGCCUGAUGCAGCCAUGCCGCGUGUGUGAAGAAGGCCUUCGGGUUGUAAAGCACUUUCAGCGGGGAGGAAGGCGAUAAGGUUAAUAACCUUGUCGAUUGACAUUACCCGCAGAAGAAGCACCGGCUAACUCCGUGCCAGCAGCCGCGGUAAUACGGAGGGUGCAAGCGUUAAUCGGAAUUACUGGGCGUAAAGCGCACGCAGGCGGUCUGUCAAGUCGGAUGUGAAAUCCCCGGGCUUAACCUGGGAACUGCAUUCGAAACUGGCAGGCUAGAGUCUUGUAGAGGGGGGUAGAAUUCCAGGUGUAGCGGUGAAAUGCGUAGAGAUCUGGAGGAAUACCGGUGGCGAAGGCGGCCCCCUGGACAAAGACUGACGCUCAGGUGCGAAAGCGUGGGGAGCAAACAGG
RNAcentral lists this ribosomal RNA (429 nucleotides) under Chloroflexota bacterium. RNAcentral describes it as "Chloroflexi bacterium partial 16S ribosomal RNA". It matches the Rfam family "Bacterial small subunit ribosomal RNA", at positions 355 to 776 of the family's 1533-position model. Lineage: Bacteria; Bacillati; Chloroflexota. The record is from RNAcentral.